RNAcentral lists this ribosomal RNA (569 nucleotides) under Salmonella enterica. Its description in RNAcentral is "partial 23S ribosomal RNA". It matches the Rfam family "Bacterial large subunit ribosomal RNA", at positions 161 to 769 of the family's 2925-position model. Lineage: Bacteria; Pseudomonadati; Pseudomonadota; Gammaproteobacteria; Enterobacterales; Enterobacteriaceae. The record is from RNAcentral.
AAUCCAUAGGUUAAUGAGGCGAACCGGGGGAACUGAAACAUCUAAGUACCCCGAGGAAAAGAAAUCAACCGAGAUUCCCCCAGUAGCGGCGAGCGAACGGGGAGGAGCCCAGAGCCUGAAUCAGCAUGUGUGUUAGUGGAAGCGUCUGGAAAGGCGCGCGAUACAGGGUGACAGCCCCGUACACAAAAGCGCAUGUGCUGUGAGCUCGAUGAGUAGGGCGGGACACGUGGUAUCCUGUCUGAAUAUGGGGGGACCAUCCUCCAAGGCUAAAUACUCCUGACUGACCGAUAGUGAACCAGUACCGUGAGGGAAAGGCGAAAAGAACCCCGGCGAGGGGAGUGAAAAAGAACCUGAAACCGUGUACGUACAAGCAGUGGGAGCACAGGUUUACCUGUGUGACUGCGUACCUUUUGUAUAAUGGGUCAGCGACUUAUAUUCUGUAGCAAGGUUAACCGAAUAGGGGAGCCGGAGGGAAACCGAGUCUUAAUUGGGCGUUAAGUUGCAGGGUAUAGACCCGAAACCCGGUGAUCUAGCCAUGGGCAGGUUGAAGGUUGGGUAACACUAACUGG